AUUCUUUUAGUAUUAUUAGUACAAAUGACUUCCAAUCAUUAAGUUCUAGAAUUAACCUAGAAAAGAAUA
Molecule: transfer RNA, 69 nt
Filed under: Sphenodon punctatus (tuatara)
Lineage: Eukaryota; Metazoa; Chordata; Lepidosauria; Sphenodontia; Sphenodontidae
Description: tRNA-Gly
Source: RNAcentral